UGGACAUAUCUCAAUUCCCUUAAAGCUUAAUAACUCUUAAGCAUGCCCUAUUGAUAUAUUUCAGAUAAUAAAAUGAAGCUUGAAGAGAUUAAGUUACACGUAUAGCAUCACAUGCCUAAUAGAAGACAGAAUUAGAAUUGCAAUUCAAGACUAAAUAUAUCACAUGCUAAAUAAAAACUGCACUCAGUAUUAUAGCAGAUUGCUUCACAGCUAAUUAUGAGUAAAGUAGUUCUUAUUAGAAACACAUACACACAAGCACAAUUACUUCCCUUCAUAUAGCCCAUGACAUGGGAAGUGCACUUGAUCAAACAAAGGCUGUUAAGUUUGCUGCUGGAAGAUAAGAGGACUUAUAAACUGUUAAUCAAAACUUUGAUGGAUAAAUGAAAAUUUGACCUUUCUAUUUGUCAUUGUUGUCAUCACUACCAUUGUCUUCGUCUUCAUUAUUAUCAAGAUCCUAGGCACAAUAACCACAGUGUUUCCACACAGUGGGCAAGGCACUGUGUAAUCACUAUGUCUGCUCCAUCUUAUCUCACCUCCAAAUAGCUUACUCACUGGUAGAACCUCCAUAUACUUGUGUACUGAAAAUACAUUGCCCACUAUGGGUACAGCAUCAAAAGAAGUCCCUCUAAAGAUUGAAUAACUGAGGCUUGAUAGAGUUACAUCACUUGUCCAAAGAGAUAAUGCCAGUGAAUGGAAUAGCCAGAUCGAAUUCCAGAAUCCGUAAAGCUCCACUGCUUCUCUCUGAAUCUAUGAGCCUGAAACAGCAGAUUCAGUAGAACAGAGUUUCUCAGGAAUGGCAGAGCCACAAGUUGGGAGGAGCCCAGCUCUGUCCAACAACCUGGAACAUCCAUCAACCAGGAAAACUGUUGCACUUUAUGUGAUUAAGAAACAUUUUUUAAGGAAAAAAGCAGUAAAUUUUUGGGUUAUAUUUGUUGCAAUAGCUGUGUUACUUUCCUAAUGCACAAUCACAAAUGUAAAAUGCCACACACAGAGUGUGAGGAAAUAUAUUGCUAUUGGACUACUUGUAGUCUAUUUAAUUUUUUUAUAUAGCUAUAGCCAGAUCUGGGGUGAAAUGGUUUAGAAUAAUAAUUUCCAAUAGUAUACAUCAUACCUUUAAAAAGACUUUUAUGGAUGGAUAAAUAUCUAAUUAUGGAACUGCCCUGCAACGUAAGUGGUGAGAGAAACUCUUUAUAUAUGCUUUGUUUUUUUCUGAAUGCAUAGGUUCAGAAUUAUUAAACAAAUCCUCAUCUUUUGACAGCCAGUAAUCAAUUUCUCAUUUGCAGGGAAUCUAAUUGCAUUAGAGGGGACACUGGGGAAGUUAUGGACUACCUCAUCUUUCUACUAUAAAAAAUGAAACUACUUGUCUGUAUUGAAUUUGAUUUUAUAUGUUCAAUGAAAUAUAUCAUAUCCUUAUAAUAAAGUUAUAUAAGUUGCAAUGACUAUCUUUACAAGGUUUUCUUAUCAGAACAUUCCUUAAUUAUUUUAAA
This 1487-nucleotide long non-coding RNA is filed under the name Homo sapiens (human). RNAcentral describes it as "HSALNT0309262". Lineage: Eukaryota; Metazoa; Chordata; Mammalia; Primates; Hominidae. The record is from RNAcentral.